Molecule: ribosomal RNA, 452 nt
Filed under: uncultured bacterium
Lineage: Bacteria
Description: partial 16S ribosomal RNA
Rfam family: Bacterial small subunit ribosomal RNA
Source: RNAcentral
GAUGAACGCUGGCGGCGUGCCUAACACAUGCAAGUCGAGCGAUUUACUUCGGUAAAUAGCGGCGGACGGGUGGGUAACGCGGUGGUAACCUGCCCUGUACACACGGAUAACAUUCCGAAAGGUAUGCUAAUACGAGAUAAUAUACUUUUAUCGCAUGGUAGAAGUAUCAAAGGGUUUGCGGUACAGGAUGGAACCGUGUCGGAUUAGCUAGUUGGUGAGGUAAUGGCUCACCAAGGCGACGAUCAGUAGCCGACCUGAGAGGGUGAUCGGCCACAUUGGAACUGAGACACGGUCCAAACUCCUACGGGGAGCAGCAGUGGGGAAUAUUGCACAAUGAGCGAAAGCCUGAUGAAGCAACGCCGCGUGAGCGGUGAAGGCCUUCGGGUAGUAAAGCUCUGUCCUCAAGGAAGAUAAUGACGGUAAUUGAGGAGGAAGCACCGGCUAACUACGUG